Ictidomys tridecemlineatus (thirteen-lined ground squirrel) is the source of this 366-nucleotide non-coding RNA. The record is from RefSeq and is a predicted model, not a curated record. NCBI's taxonomy places the organism in Eukaryota, Metazoa, Chordata, Mammalia, Rodentia, Sciuridae.
AGUCAACCUCCAGUAACCAGUCCCCUAAGCCACCUUGAUCCCCAGAACCGCCUAGGUCACCAGAGCAGCUUCUCCGCGUCUGAGGCCUGGACCCAGGCCUGGACCUACGCCGGGAUCUGCGCCAGGGCUGGUCACAAGGGGGCCGCCCCCUGGCCCCUCCCCUCUCGACGUGCGGCCCCCAGCCCCGGAUUCUGUCCUCCUGCAGUGAUGAAUGGCACCGCUGUCCCGCGCAGGCAGACAAACCUCUUCCUGAAACAGAUUCUACUGGAGUCAACAACAGCGACAGAUUUUAGAGAAAGCCCCUGGAAUGGAGACUCGGGCUUCACCUGGUUCCAGGCCCACUCUCUACAGAAAAAAAAAAAAAAA